Non-coding RNA from Pelobates cultripes (western spadefoot toad), 1298 nucleotides. The record is from the annotation of a GenBank genome assembly. Lineage: Eukaryota; Metazoa; Chordata; Amphibia; Anura; Pelobatidae.
UUUUAUGAAAAUAUAUAUAGCUUUAAUUUAAAGACAUAUAAACACUUUUGGUACAGUACAGACAUGAUGCUGAAAAAACGCUGUAUGAUCUGUCUGAAAACUGUUGCUUUCCUUGUGUUGGUAUGUACAUUUGACUAUUUUGAGUGACAGAGAAAUAACAAGUGAAUGGUUAACAUCAAAUGUGAACAGAUUUAUUUGCAGAUAGCAUUUCCUGGACACAUUACUUCUAUAUCUUGAUGUGCGGUACAUGAAAAGAGUUGCCUUACAGCAUGCAGAAUUAAUAUGCAGCAGGAUGGAAAUUGGUGAACAAAUCAAGGAUUUUUUUAAAAUUAAUUUCUGCAAUAUAUUAACUACACAUGCUGCAGGACGGCCCUUCAUGCACAGCACAUGGAAGUGAUAUGUGUCUAGGAAUAAAAGUGGAUCUGGCAACUUUAUUUGAAAAAAAAACAAAUACGUCAAAAUAAAGGGUAAAAAAUUAGAUCACUUUCCAAGCUAAUGAUGAUCAAAGCUGACACUAACCAUUUGUGUGACACAAACCUGAGCAACAUUACAUUUCACAUCCUUUUGGAACUACGGCAUGUUUAUUUACUAAAUUGUGGACUAUCAGAAAUUCACCAGAGAAUUGCAAAUUUUGAUGUCGGUAUAACUGGCCUUAAAUGAGGAAUUCCUUUUUUUAAUUCCUGACAUUUCACUGUUUAGUGAAUAACUGCAUGUGAUAAAUACAGAGUCGGAUGCUUUAUCCUCCACAAUGCUUAUGUAAAAGGCAAGGUCACCAAAACAAAGAGAACUGCAGGUGAUAAGUCCCCUGCUGCUGAAAAUCUAAAACUGUAGUCACAAAUAAUGCUUUUUACUUCUAUCCAGGCACAGCCACAAAAUCCCAACAAGCAUUAUACCCAGUAAUACAAAUUUAAUGUGCAAUAGUCAGGGAAUAGGAAAGAUCUGAUGUUCUAUCUUCUGAGGGAUACAACACCUAUCAUGUUAGGCUGAGUCUAUUAGGAAUUUCACUCCAUCAAACCUUGAGUGACAUACAUACAUCACUAAUAUAUAGCUCUAUCCCAAUUAUGACUUUGGGUGUGUACACACAAACACACCCUUCUGUCAUAAAUGCCACUAUUAUGAGUGUGUGUAUUUUGUUUAUAAAUAUAUAUUUUUUUUAAUAAAAAAAAAAAAAAGAAGGCGAUUCAUUAGUUACCAUCUGCAUAGUGAAAUGUAAAAAUAAAAAUGAGCUUUUUAACUCAUGAUUGUCAAAUAAGUGCACGUAACUGCCAUAAAAAGAGCCACGUUUGAGCAAUUAUUAA